This 793-nucleotide ribosomal RNA is filed under the name Darkera picea. Its description in RNAcentral is "eukaryotic LSU rRNA". It matches the Rfam family "Eukaryotic large subunit ribosomal RNA", at positions 92 to 902 of the family's 3401-position model. Lineage: Eukaryota; Fungi; Ascomycota; Leotiomycetes; Phacidiales; Phacidiaceae. The record is from RNAcentral.
AGUGAAGCGGCAACAGCUCAAAUUUGAAAUCUGGCCCCCUCGGGGCCCGAGUUGUAAUUUGUAGAGGAUGUUUCGGGUGUGGCUCCGGUCUAAGUUCCUUGGAACAGGACGUCAUAGAGGGUGAGAAUCCCGUAUGUGACUGGCAGCCUACGCCCAUGUGAAACUCCUUCGACGAGUCGAGUUGUUUGGGAAUGCAGCUCAAAAUGGGUGGUAAAUUUCAUCUAAAGCUAAAUAUUGGCCAGAGACCGAUAGCGCACAAGUAGAGUGAUCGAAAGAUGAAAAGCACUUUGGAAAGAGAGUUAAACAGUACGUGAAAUUGUUGAAAGGGAAGCGCUUGCAACCAGACUUGCGUGCGGCCGAUCAUCCGGUGUUCUCACCGGUGCACUCGGUCGUGCUCAGGCCAGCAUCGGUUUCGGCGGCUGGAUAAAGGCCAUGGGAAUGUAGCUCCUCUCGGGGAGUGUUAUAGCCCGUGGUGCAAUGCAGCCCGCUGGGACCGAGGACCGCGCUUCGGCUAGGAUGCUGGCGUAAUGGUUGUAAGCGACCCGUCUUGAAACACGGACCAAGGAGUCUAACAUCUAUGCGAGUGUUUGGGUGUCAAACCCAUACGCGGAAUGAAAGUGAACGGAGGUGAGAACCCUUAAGGGUGCAUCAUCGACCGAUCCUGAUGUCUUCGGAUGGAUUUGAGUAAGAGCAUAGCUGUUGGGACCCGAAAGAUGGUGAACUAUGCCUGAAUAGGGUGAAGCCAGAGGAAACUCUGGUGGAGGCUCGCAGCGGUUCUGACGUGCAAAUCGAU